CGCUGGCGGCGUGCCUAACACAUGCAAGUCGAACGGAGAUUAGACGCUGACGAGACUUCGGUCAAAUCUUGUUUAAUCUUAGUGGCGGACGGGUGAGUAACGCGUGGGCAACCUGCCUCAUACUGGGGGAUAGCAGUUGGAAACGACUGAUAAUACCGCAUAAGCGCACAGCAUCGCAUGAUGCAGUGUGAAAAACUCCGGUGGUAUGAGAUGGGCCCGCGUCAGAUUAGCUAGUUGGUAAGGUAACGGCUUACCAAGGCGACGAUCUGUAGCCGGACUGAGAGGUCGGACGGCCACAUUGGGACUGAGACACGGCCCAAACUCCUACGGGAGGCAGCAGUGGGGGAUAUUGCACAAUGGAGGAAACUCUGAUGCAGCGACGCCGCGUGAGUGAAGAAGUAUUUCGGUAUGUAAAGCUCUAUCAGCAGGGAAGAAAGGCUCUAAGGAGAGAUGACGGUACCUGACUAAGAAGCCCCGGCUAACUACGUGCCAGCAGCUGC
This 500-nucleotide ribosomal RNA is filed under the name uncultured bacterium. RNAcentral's name for it is "bacterial SSU rRNA". It matches the Rfam family "Bacterial small subunit ribosomal RNA", at positions 34 to 518 of the family's 1533-position model. The record is from RNAcentral.